Molecule: small nuclear RNA, 103 nt
Organism: Suncus etruscus (white-toothed pygmy shrew)
Lineage: Eukaryota; Metazoa; Chordata; Mammalia; Eulipotyphla; Soricidae
Source: RefSeq, a predicted model, not a curated record
GCAGAACUAUAUGUGCUGCACUAAAACUGGAAUGAUACAGAGAAGAUUAGCAUGGUCCCUGCGCAAGGAUGACACACAAAUUCGUGAAGCAUUCCAUAUUAAA